RNAcentral lists this ribosomal RNA (460 nucleotides) under uncultured bacterium. RNAcentral describes it as "partial 16S ribosomal RNA". It matches the Rfam family "Bacterial small subunit ribosomal RNA", at positions 338 to 795 of the family's 1533-position model. The record is from RNAcentral.
CCUACGGGUGGCAGCAGUGAGGAAUAUUGGUCAAUGGGCGCGAGCCUGAUCCAGCGAAGUAGCGUGAAGGAUGACUGCCCUACGGGUUGUAAACUUCUUUUAUAAAGGAGUAAAGUGAGGCACGUGUGCCUUUUUGUAUGUACUUUAUGAAUAAGGAUCGGCUAACUCCGUGCCAGCAGCCGCUGUAAUACGGAGGAUCCGAGCGUUAUCCGGAUUUAUUGGGUUUAAAGGGAGCGUAGAUGGUUUGUUAAGUCAGUUGUGAAAGUUUGCGGCUCAACCGUAAAAUUGCAAUUGAUACUGGCAGACUUGAGUACAGUAGAGGGAGGCGGAAUGCGUGGUGUAGCGGUGAAAUGCUUAGAUAUCACGAAGAACUCUGAUUGCGAAGGCAGCUUACUAAACUGCCACUGACAUUGAUGCACGAAAGUGAGGGUAUCAAACAGGAUUAGAUACCCCAGUAGUC